Molecule: long non-coding RNA, 608 nt
Filed under: Heterocephalus glaber (naked mole-rat)
Lineage: Eukaryota; Metazoa; Chordata; Mammalia; Rodentia; Bathyergidae
Description: lncRNA (ENSHGLG00000033398.1)
Source: RNAcentral
CCGUGGAGCAAGGCCUCAGGUGGAGGCUGCACGGCCCAAGGGCUCCAUCACUCUCUAGCCCCAGCCCCUGGGCCUCAUUGUGUGGGUCCUGGCAUUCCAGUACUCUGCUCGUCUGAAAUGUGACCGCACUGAAUCAGAUCUGACAGCCCAGUGCUCUCCUGUGGUCAGCAGGUACAUGGACAGUGAUUUUUAAAGGAACAGAGAUGGUCUAGUCCCCUGGAGCUGGAGGUGGUGAAGAGGGAGUGUUCACUGCAAGCCUGGAGAGGCAGGAAGGAGAAGAACAUUUUACAGACUGGUGCACCUGAACCCGUGUGUUAAACUGGACUCCACAUUUUGCCUCCUGUGGGACCAAGGGCAAGUUAUCCAGCAUCUCUGAGCCCUUCUUUCUUGCAUUCUGCCUCAAAGAAUUGUGAACUUUCAAUGACACAACCCCCAGUCACCGAUGGUAUCUUCAGGGGACGGCGUGUGCCCCUCCUGUUUGGAAGUGGCACACAGCUGGCAUCUCUCCUGAUGGGCUGUGGAUCGGCUCUCCCUAACUGGUGCCAUUGCCUUUCAGGAUGAUAAGUUUUUUGAAUAUUCUUUUUUUUUAUACCAGGGAUCAAACUUGG